UCGUUUACUGUUGUUCAUUCU
RNAcentral lists this non-coding RNA (21 nucleotides) under Arabidopsis thaliana (thale cress). Lineage: Eukaryota; Viridiplantae; Streptophyta; Magnoliopsida; Brassicales; Brassicaceae. The record is from RNAcentral.